RNAcentral lists this long non-coding RNA (335 nucleotides) under Vigna radiata. RNAcentral's name for it is "long non-coding RNA (VRAD_LNC001712)". Lineage: Eukaryota; Viridiplantae; Streptophyta; Magnoliopsida; Fabales; Fabaceae. The record is from RNAcentral.
GAGUUGGACAAAAGAGAAGGAGGAAAGAUGAAGAAAAGAAGAUUCGCAGCUACCGCCUGGCGGUGUACUCUUUAGAGAACUCUCUGCUAGACGCUCAAGCGGUACCACUAAGGGGUGAAGUGGAAUGUCAACCUCACCGCUGGGCGGUGAAGCCACUGCCGGGCGGUGGAACCUUCAGGGAAUUCUCUGCCAAACACUCAGGCGACAACGCCAAGGGAUGAUGUUAAGUGCCGAACAUACUGCCGGGCGAUGGACUAUUGGGCCUAGGCCAGUUUAUGCUUUGUUUUAAUGAGUUAUAAAUAGAUUUGGACGACCUAGAUGGUGAAUCUUUUUAC